Zea mays is the source of this 1026-nucleotide RNA transcript. RefSeq lists it as uncharacterized. The record is from RefSeq and is marked validated. The transcript has 4 exons. Lineage: Eukaryota; Viridiplantae; Streptophyta; Magnoliopsida; Poales; Poaceae.
GCCCCAGCCCGUGGCCAUCGGCCUCUUCUUCGCCGCAUGCUCUCCUUGCUCGAGCUCGCCCACUUCCUGGUGCAUCUUCCUCCUCGCCUCCCAUCUCAGGGCCAGGCUGCUCGGCCACGCCCAGCAGCUCCUUGAACGCGUGCCCCUCCGAGCAUCUUGUCCCUUUGUUGGUUGCCAUCUUUCCCAGCUCCCCAGCGCAGGUGGCUGGCUGUGCGUUCCCCUUGCCGGCGUCCUCGUUCUCCCUGCUCGUCGGUCCCCGGGAAAAAAAAACAUCUCCCUCACGGCUGCUCCCAUGGCUGUCUGCAGCCCUAGCCGAGCUCGCUCUCCCCGCCCAGCAGCAAGCAGCUCCUUUCCCCUCGCCAUGAACGCCGUCGAUCCCCUACUGCAGUUCCUCCACGUGGUCUGGUCGUCGACCGCGCGCGUCACCUGCUCGUGGUUAUGGGAAACCAGCGAGCCUCUCCUCACGGCGUAGUUUCCUUGCAUCAUCGUUCAGCCCGAGAUUUAGAUGAGAAGAAAGCUUUAGCGAGGCGCUUGCCAAGUGCUUGGUGAAUCACCUCAACCGGAUGUGGUUGUCGAUCUUGCGGAGUCGAGUCGAGUUUAGUCGUGGUACGCUAGCUGAUUAUGCGAGCUGAAGGACAUGGAUCAGAGCAAACCGGUAUUGGUGGAUUAAUCUUGUGGAUGCAUCAAGCCAGCACCAGAAUGGAAGAUGCUCACCAAGUGGUCGUCAAUUAACAACACUAACGUAGUGUUUAUCCCAGGUUAUAAGUUUGUUCUGUUGUGGAUGGUGCUAAGUGUCGGUGGGCUCGACCUUCUUAUAUAAGUAUAUCCCAUCUUUAGCUUCUUUAUGGAGGACUGUCACUUAAGCUAGCAUGUAUUUUAAAACUUAUAAAUGUUUUAUACAUUCAAAUUGUAAUAUUUUUGAAUCAAAUUCUCUUGUAAUCACUCCGAUGAUAUAUUGUAAUAUGGUUAUAACUUAUAAAUGUUGUAACUUGUAAUCAUUUUGUAAUAAAGAAUUUAUUUCCGCUG